RNAcentral lists this ribosomal RNA (723 nucleotides) under bacterium. RNAcentral describes it as "bacterial SSU rRNA". It matches the Rfam family "Bacterial small subunit ribosomal RNA", at positions 778 to 1501 of the family's 1533-position model. The record is from RNAcentral.
UUAGAUACCCUGGUAGUCCACGCCGUAAACGAUGUCGACUUGGAGGUUGUUCCCUUGAGGAGUGGCUUCCGGAGCUAACGCGUUAAGUCGACCGCCUGGGGAGUACGGCCGCAAGGUUAAAACUCAAAUGAAUUGACGGGGGCCCGCACAAGCGGUGGAGCAUGUGGUUUAAUUCGAUGCAACGCGAAGAACCUUACCUACUCUUGACAUCCACGGAAUUUGGCAGAGAUGCCUUAGUGCCUUCGGGAACCGUGAGACAGGUGCUGCAUGGCUGUCGUCAGCUCGUGUUGUGAAAUGUUGGGUUAAGUCCCGCAACGAGCGCAACCCUUAUCCUUUGUUGCCAGCGAUUCGGUCGGGAACUCAAAGGAGACUGCCGGUGAUAAACCGGAGGAAGGUGGGGAUGACGUCAAGUCAUCAUGGCCCUUACGAGUAGGGCUACACACGUGCUACAAUGGCGCAUACAAAGAGAAGCGACCUCGCGAGAGCAAGCGGACCUCACAAAGUGCGUCGUAGUCCGGAUCGGAGUCUGCAACUCGACUCCGUGAAGUCGGAAUCGCUAGUAAUCGUGGAUCAGAAUGCCACGGUGAAUACGUUCCCGGGCCUUGUACACACCGCCCGUCACACCAUGGGAGUGGGUUGCAAAAGAAGUAGGUAGCUUAACCUUCGGGAGGGCGCUUACCACUUUGUGAUUCAUGACUGGGGUGAAGUCGUAACAAGGUAACC